This 263-nucleotide unclassified non-coding RNA is filed under the name plant metagenome. Its description in RNAcentral is "partial contains small subunit ribosomal RNA, internal transcribed spacer 1, and 5.8S ribosomal RNA". The record is from RNAcentral.
UUUCCGUAGGUGAACCUGCGGAAGGAUCAUUAUUGUAUAACCGAGGUGCGAGUUCUGUCCCUGACCCGAAAGGACGUGCACGCCCGAGUUACCUCACACACAUCCAUCUCACCCCUCUGUGCACCACAACGUUGAUCGCCCUUUGGCUUUUACGGAGGGGGGCUCACGUUUUAACACAAAUUUUGUAUGCAGUGUAGAAUGUAUCUUUUGUUUUUGCGAGCACGCAAGCAAUACAACUUUCAACAAUGGAUCUCUUGGCUCUC